AUGGGGCCACAGGGACACGGAGGAGGAAGUGUGGGUAUAUUUUCUGUUUCCAUCUCAGGGGCCAGGUGUGACAUCCAGAUGACCCAGUCUCCACCAUCAGUGCCUGCAUCUCUGGGAGACACUGUCACCAUCUCCUGCCGGGCCAGUGAGAGUAUUAGCAAUUAUUUACACUGGUAUCAGCAGAAACCAGGGAAGGCUCCUAAACUCCUGAUCAAUCACGCAACCACUUUGCGGCCCGGGGUCCCAUCCCGCUUCAGUGGCAGUGGAUCUGGGACAGAUUUCACUCUCACCAUCAGCAGCCUGGAGCCUGAAGAUGCUGCCACUUACUUCUGUCAGCAGGGGGCCAGGUGUGAUGUCCAGAUGACCCAGUCUCCAUCCUCCGUGUCUGCAUCUCCAGGAGACAGAGUCACCAUCUCCUGCCGGGCCAGUCAGAGUGUUAGCAACUAUUUACAAUGGUACCAGCAGAAACUAGGGAAAGUUCCUCAACUCCUGAUCUAUGGUGCAUCCAAUUUGCAACCCGGGGUCCCAUCCCGCUUCAGUGGCAGUGGAUCUGGGACAGAUUUCACUCUCACCAUCAGCAGCCUGGAGCCUGAAGAUGCUGCCACUUACUACUGUCAGCAUCAUUACAGUGCUCCUCCUUCCACAGUGAUACAAGCCCGAACAAAAACCACCUGAGGGAGUGAAAGUGUGAGGUUGGGAAACCCAGCUGCUCCCUCUGCUGAGAGUAUAUCUCACAUGUCGUCACACUUGAGUGGAAGGUUCUGGUAGAAGGGGCAGGGACACUGCCUCACACCUGCUUCUUUUUCCUCCUCCCCCUUCCCAACAACACAGACAUGAUAACGCCUCUGCUGACUCAAUUGUGACAGAAGUUAUUACACCUGAGCUGUCUGGUUAUGAUGUCGGUCAGGUUCAUCAGUGGGAGAGGAGCCACUUGAGAUCAUUUGGAUAAGAACUUACUUUAGGGCCUCCCCGGUGGGGCAGUGUUUGAGCGUCAUGCUGCGAAGCUGUCCGCAGCCUCUGCAGUGCCAGUUCAAUUCCCUGCCAGCCAGGGAGAACCCCACAUGGUGCAGCAGAUCUCUCCUGCUUCACUCACUGCUCCCCUCAGCAGUGUCUUUGUUCCAUCUGCCAGUUCUGCAUCCCGCUCUGGCUCUGGUGAAUUCUCACCCUCCCACACUUCUGACCUGUACCCCAGUUCUUGUAUAAAAUAAAUAAAUCAAUCUUAAAAAAAAGAACUUACUUUAAUAAACAAUUCUCAAUGAGAUACCAUCUUACACCAGUGAGAAUGGCACAUAUUAAAAAAACUAGCAAAGACAAAUGUUGGUGAGGAUGUGGAGAAAAAGGAACUCUCCUGCACUGCUGGUGGGAGUGCAAACUGGUCCAACCACUAUGAAGAGCUUUGU
Talpa occidentalis (Iberian mole) is the source of this 1400-nucleotide non-coding RNA. The record is from the annotation of a RefSeq genome assembly. NCBI's taxonomy places the organism in Eukaryota, Metazoa, Chordata, Mammalia, Eulipotyphla, Talpidae.